Molecule: ribosomal RNA, 1375 nt
Filed under: metagenome
Description: bacterial SSU rRNA
Rfam family: Bacterial small subunit ribosomal RNA
Source: RNAcentral
AGAGUUUGAUUCUGGCUCAGAACGAACGCUGGCGGCGUGGAUAAGACAUGCAAGUCGAACGGUGACCUGGAGGUAGCAAUAUUUCCUUGUCAUAGUGGCGAAAGGGUGCGUAACACGUGGGUAAUUUGCCAUAAAGUUGGGGAUAACCCCGAGAAAUCGGGAUUAAUACCGAAUGUGGCUGAAAGAUGGCAUCAUCUGGCAGCUAAAGUUGGGGACCGCAAGGCCUGACGCUUUAUGAUAAGCCCGCGGCCUAUCAGCUUGUUGGUGAGGUAACGGCUCACCAAGGCUAAGACGGGUAACUGGUCUGAGAGGACGAUCAGUCACACUGGAACUGAGACACGGUCCAGACACCUACGGGUGGCAGCAGUCGAGAAUCUUUCACAAUGGGGGAAACCCUGAUGGAGCGACGCCGCGUGGGGGAUGAAUGGCUUCGGCCCGUAAACCCCUGUCAUUCGUGAACAACCCUUGCUAUUUAAAAGAUGGCAAGCUGAUAGUAGCGAAAGAGGAAGGGACGGCUAACUCUGUGCCAGCAGCCGCGGUAAUACAGAGGUCCCAAGCGUUGUUCGGAUUCACUGGGCGUAAAGGGUGCGUAGGUGGUGGGGUAAGUUUGAUGUGAAAGCUCCGGGCUCAACCCGGAAAUUGCAUUGAAUACCAUCUCGCUAGAGGAUUGGAGGGGGGACUGGAAUUCUCGGUGUAGCAGUGAAAUGCGUAGAUAUCGAGAGGAACACCAGUGGCGAAGGCGAGUCCCUGGACAAUUCCUGACACUGAGACACGAAAGCUAGGGGAGCAAACAGGAUUAGAUACCCUGGUAGUCCUAGCCGUAAACGGUGCACAUUUGCUGAGAGAGGAAUCGACCCCUUUCCUGGCGUAGCAAACGCGUUAAAUGUGCCGCCUGGGAAGUACGGUCGCAAGAUUAAAAUCAAAGAAAUUGACGGGGGCCUGCACAAGCGGUGGAGUAUGUGGCUUAAUUCGAUGCAACGCGAAGAACCUUACCUGGCCUUGACAUGUAGGUGGUAGAAACCUGAAAGGGUGACGACCCCGCAAGGGGAGCCUACACAGGUGCUGCAUGGCUGUCGUCAGCUCGUGUCGUGAGAUGUUGGGUUAAGUCCCGCAACGGGCGCAACCCUUGUGUCCUGUUGCCACUCCUGCGAGAGCAGGAAGCACUCUGGACAUACUGCCUCGUCUAAACGAGGAGGAAGGUGGGGAUGACGUCAAGUCAGUAUGGCCCUUACGGCCAGGGCUGCACACGUACUACAAUGCCUAGUACAAAGGGAAGCAAGAUCGCAAGGUGGAGCAAAUCCUCAAAACUGGGCUCAGUUCAGAUUGUCGUCUGCAACUCGACGGCAUGAAGCUGGAAUCGCUAGUAAUGGCGCAU